This 163-nucleotide ribosomal RNA is filed under the name uncultured bacterium. RNAcentral describes it as "partial 16S ribosomal RNA". It matches the Rfam family "Bacterial small subunit ribosomal RNA", at positions 392 to 539 of the family's 1533-position model. The record is from RNAcentral.
CCAUGCCGCGUGUGUGAAGAAGGCCUUCGGGUUGUAAAGCACUUUCAGUGAUGAGGAAGGGUGCGUAGUUAAUACCUGCGCACAUUGACGUUAGUCACAGAAGAAGCACCGGCUAACUCCGUGCCAGCAACGUCGGUGACUGAGCGGGCUGGCAAGGCGCAUA